RNAcentral lists this transfer RNA (76 nucleotides) under Citrobacter phage Mijalis. Its description in RNAcentral is "tRNA-Gln". The record is from RNAcentral. Lineage: Duplodnaviria; Heunggongvirae; Uroviricota; Caudoviricetes; Andersonviridae.
UUCCAUCAUCCCCCGCCAAUGCUCCAUUACUCCAAUUGGCAGAGAGACCAGACUUAAAAUCUGCGUUAUGUAUCGG